RNAcentral lists this long non-coding RNA (8318 nucleotides) under Triticum aestivum (bread wheat). Its description in RNAcentral is "long non-coding RNA (TAES_LNC009708)". Lineage: Eukaryota; Viridiplantae; Streptophyta; Magnoliopsida; Poales; Poaceae. The record is from RNAcentral.
CAUUUCCUAUCACGUGGUGCUAUUUGCACAUUUUUACAGAAAUAUUUCUUUCACAAAUAAUUAUAUAAUCCCAUUUUUCCAUUCCUGUCUUAAACUUUGCAAAAUCACAGAGAGCCCAUUUUUGAUCCAAAUGCCAUGAUUCAAAUUCCUUGGUGUUCCUAAGUUCAUAACUUAGUUUAUGAACAUUUUUAUUAAUACCUUCUGUACCACAUAAAUUAUUGAGCCAUUUCUUCAUAUUUACCAACUUUGCAAAUUCAUAGGAAAUUCAUGUGAACUCCAAAUCCAGUGAAACUAAUUCCUAGAUUCUUCUAAAAUUAUCCUUUGUUAAAUGGGUGCCUUGGCUCAUUUUUCAAAAAUAUGUUUCUGUACACUUCUUGCGAAUCCAUAAACCUCUCGAUUACAUCAUAUCAAAAUGUUUAGAAAUAUCCACUGACCCAAUUCCCAUGAAACCACUCUGAUUGUUUUUCAUAUAACCAGAGAUGUACUAGAAAAGUCAAACCAAUAUUUUUGGAGCACUUCUAUUUUCUACCUUGUUGUGUUGCUUAUUGUGGUUGUUUUCGACAAUAGUUGACGAAGUAGACGAAAUGCUCGGAGUUGGACCAGAGAUAUUUGAAGACCUCGAAGACUUUGUUAAAACAGGCAAGCAGCCCUUUUGACCAUGCCUAUGAAACCCUUUUUAUGCAUUUCAUAUAGCACUUUACUCUUGUUGCAUCGGAAUCAUGAUGAGAGGGUAGCCACUUGGUGGGUUGCCUUCAUUCCCUCCUUGUUGAUACUUGCAUUGUGCAUUACCCUACCUCCUUAUGAGGGUUUUGCCGAUGGGAAUAGAUAGAAUGCUAAAGUAGUACUACGAAAAGGGACGGGAAAAUGCAUGGUGAUGGAGGAAAGUACUUUCAAAGGAUUUUUCGAAAACCCCGUCGGGUGCCACUUAUGCCCGAGCGAGGCAAUGAGAUGGGUAACCACUUGAUGACGAAGUGGUGUGCCGAGGUAAGUGUGUGUGUUGUUUUUCGAAAACGGAUUAGAUUUAAGAUUUGUCGACUGUCCCAACCUUACAUGCGCAACCACUCUACCCUUAUAUGGGAAAGGGCAUUAUUGAUUACUUAGGCCGAUACUAGCUUGGAGCCCGCAUUACUAGUGACGGGGGAGAGUUGGUGCUCUCUCUCGGGACGGGGUCGUGCCAGGUAGGGCGGCCAUGAGCAUUUUCACAGGGCACCGGAUACACCGUUGUGUCCCCUCUCGGAUGCUACGAUCUCUAGUGAGUCUCGUAUGAUGUGCAUCAUGAGGAUACGGAACAACGAGUGGACUCCUUGUUAGUGUCGUCUAGGGAAAGAUAGUGAUCGGGUGCUUACCCUGGGUACUUGAGGUACCGCGGGUCGUGGAUGACACGGAAGUUCCCCGAAUCUUGUGGGUAAAGUGUGCAACCUCUGUAGAGUGUAAAACUAUUCUAAUAGCCGUGUCCAUGGUCAAGGACAGUUGGGCGGUCCUGCUUAAACUACGUCCACAUGUUUACAAACCAGUGUGUGUUUGGGUAAGUGGGAAGAACUACUUGGGUCAAGUCAAGGGACUUGACAUGAUUGAGUUGGGUUGGUGCCCACUCUUUUUAUGAUGAUACCACUACUCGGGUCAAGUCAAAGGACUUGACAUGAUUGAGUUGGGUUGGUGCCCACUCUUUUUAUGUUGAUAUCUGUAACCUGUCCUCUUGGUUACUUGAAUUCUCCUGAUGCAUGUCUUACGAGUUGUUGAACAUGUCAUUGCACUCAAAGACUAGCUUUCCGCAAUGAUUUACCUAUAUCAUGCAUUGUUGUAUCUUGAACCAAAACAUGGGUUGCUUGCGAGUACAUUCAAAGUACUCAUUGGCUUGCCACUGGUUAUUUUAUUGGCCAGGCAUAAAAGAACAGGAUAUGAAGAAGAAUGCUUUGGUGACGAACAUGCGAGCUAGGACGCUUCCCAGUCAGAAUGCCUGUAGGGUUAAGGCAGAUGGCUUGGGUCCAAGUUAUCGACGAAGAUUUCCGCUGCAAUGUUAUACUCAAGACUUGACCAUAAUGGUCCUACUUGUGUAAUACGGUAUGUACGGAUGUAAGACUCUUGUUAUUCAGCUUCUGUGUGUUCAGUGAGCAUUGAUCUCUGGGAUCACUGUACACGUGCAUUCGGUGAUCACGACUUAUGAGUCGGGGUCCCCACAGAGCUGGUAUCAGAGCCAUCCUGACUGUAGGAAGCCUUAGCUAGCAUGAUCGUUAGUUAGGGUAAAACUAUUUCCAAAACUACUACCAGUUUUCAAAACUAUCUAUACUUCUCUUCCCUUCUCAGUUUUUCGAAAAACUAAGGUAUAGUUUCCUUAUCAAUCUCUUCCCUUCAAAACUAUUGCAAAUGGUCGCUAGCACCCUCAAGCCCCUAACCACGGGAUUCCUUGUAAUCCUCGUGGAUAAUCUAGAAGGAAGAUGCUUUGCCAGACAUUCACCUACAUCUCUUGAGCACAAGAUUGGCGACAUCACAACAAGACGAUACCAACAGAAGAUACAUCCUCGAAGGAUGAGGACCUGAAGACCCAGGAGAUGGUGACACCCUUGACACUACGACAAGAUGAUGCAACCCUAGCCUACGAUGAUCGGGCAUAGGAUAUGCAAGAUCAUGAUAUACAUCGCUGAUAGAGUAACCCUGUAACUACCGUUGUUAUAUCGGCGACCACCGGUGGAUGAGAACCUAGCCAUUUGGUCCGCCUCACUAUAGUGAGUAGGGAAACGGUUCUCUUCAUCCCCCGCUCUUGGUGUCGACGUUGUCAUCAACGUAGCCGACAUGUUGGACCUCUACUAUGCCUUGUUAAUAUCACUGCAUAAAGGAUUAUCUACCUGGUACCAUCGACGGCUUAGAAGAUAAAACGGGAUCGUCAUGAUUAAGAAGACAAUAGAAGACCGAGUCAAUGCCAGCUACAAGGAGCCACCUUCACCCCAUCACUUCAACAGGCGAGAAGUUGUUGAAGAAUCUUCAGGCUCAACCUGGAUCGUUUCAUCGAACAACUACAAGAGACAUAGCAACACCUGAGGAAAACUCAGAAGACUACAUGAGGCUCAAGGCACGACUACUUAGUCCGGGAACCCCUGGGUAGGAUGAGUCGUGUACCCCCUAUGCGCAGUCGAGUUCGUAUGAUGGUUCGAAUAGAACCAUGAUUGUUUGUUGCUUGUUUUUAUUUGUUUGUGUUUUGAUAUCAGUUGCCCUUUUUGCCCUAGGCAAUAAGUACACGACUAUAUCACCUGCCUUAUUUUGUUGUUUGUGUUGGCCCUUUUGGCACUUGUUUGUUGCACCUGCACUAUAGAACCCUCUUUAGGCAUCCCCCCUCUAUGGUACCUAUCCCUCUCAUCUCUCUCCUCAACUGAUGACCGGCAAGACAAGCUACACCAAGGAUUCUGCCUCGGCAACCGACUAGCAAUGAAGACUUCUGCUACAACCUCCACGACCAAGUGCAACCCCGUAGAAUUAUGUUUAACUCUCCAGACUAGAAACCCAUUCCUAGACCCUUCGAGACUUUACGAGAUACCCCAGCUCGAGUCCUUAACCAUGUGCUUAACCCAUAGAAUUGCAAGAGAACCAGUUAAGUCUCUAUAGACCUUGCACAACACUGGGUUCAUUAUGGAACUAGUGGACAUAGUGAACGAGCACAUUAUCAUCCUAAUAUAGCACCAGAACGGACGAUGCCAUAAGGAAGACUAGGUUGAGGAUAUAGGAAUAGAGGACAAAUGAUUUGAUGAGUUUAUAUCAAUGACUUUGAGGAAUCAUCUGAGACUAUUUGGUGGAUUAUGAGGCUUUGAUGUUGGAAGAUGAACUUGGUGGGAGCAUUAGUAAAGAUUAGGAUAGCUUUCAUUACCCCUGGAGUAAAUUGGAUUUUGUGGGACAAUUAUAAUCGCAAGAGGAAUUUCUUGGAAGUAUAAGGAUUUGACUGAGCCAGGGGAUAUGAUAGAAGAUAGUUGACAUUAUGUAAUGACUUGAGGGAAUAGAUAGGAAUUCUCGUUGGACAUGAGAUUGGAUCCAAUACGUUAUCCUAGUGGAGUAUGGAUGCUGAGUAAUUCUACAUGGUUCGGAGUAAAUUGGAUUUAGACUGAUGAUCUCGAUGAUGAUACCACGAUUCUUGGAGGACAAUAAACUAGGAGAUUGGAUUAAUUGUCGGAGUUGAUAUAAGCUUGACCUUGGAGUUUACUGACCAUGAUAAUGGAAAUUGGUGGACUUACUAUAGUAGAGACAGCCCUUUCAAGCAUUAUGGACUUUAGGAGAUCAUGAGGAACAUCAUAAACAUUGGAUUUGUAGAAUUAAAUGGAUUAUGUAGUGAUUGAUGAAAGCUAAUGGGUUGUUGGUUGAUUCAUAGGAAGGAAACAAGAUCUUGGAGUGGCUUACGACGUGUUUCCUUAGGAUAGAGGUGCUUUAUCUUAGACCUUGGAAGAAGAGGCCGAGCACUUGGAUUGUCGUGUUUUAUUCCAGCCUGGAAGCUUGUAUGCUCUACCCAUGGAUUUUUUAGAGGUAGCCAUACAUAUGAGUUUGGGGAUCGUAGACAUAUAUGAUUUUGUUAGACCUUCUCCAAGUCCCGAGCAUAUAGAUGACAUGAGUGAUGAUUGGAGCUGACCUACAAGAGUUGAUGCUUUCGGUGGUAUAAGGUUAUUUGUUUAAAGGACUGCAUAGAAUAAUUGGCAUCUCAGGAACCGUGCUUAAGGAUAAGGUGACAAACGUUCGCUCGGACACUAGAAUCCUUGAAACCCUUAAGCCCCACCAAGCCACGAUAUGGUCAGAAUCACAACCACGGGCUUUGGCUCUAGGACAAGGAAACCUUGGCCAAUACCCAACCAUGACCACCACUGAUACCCCAACCUAUACCCUAUGUACCCCGUGGGCAAGUCUUCACGGAGUACUCGGACAAGUAAUUGUCAUCCUUCCUUGAUGACAUACUUGUCUACCCGAAGACGGUAGAAGAAUCACUGAGCUGGUGAAGAAAACAUUUGAAGACCGCCAUGCCAAGGAGGAAGAACUAUACCAACCACCGUCGCCAAGAAAUAAACGUCCGCGAUGAAGGCCAGGAGUAUCUGCAAGUCACUUCACUCAAUGGGACCAAGCAUUUCCAUGUCAAAGGGAAGCUCACACCAAGAUUUAUCGGCCCUCUCAAAGACCACUGCAAGAUGAAGAAUAGACGGCUACCAGCUAGAGUUAUCACCUGAGUCACCCACUGUGCACGAUGUUUUUCCACACGACACAACUCCGGAAGUGUUUCCUACUUCCUAUCUAGCCCGGUCUCUGCAAGGACAUCAAACACCGAACCAUUGACCCCCAGCCCAAUAUGACCUACGCGAGAGACCCCAAUUGCAUUCUGGAUCAAGCAGGACGACAAAUACGAAGCCAUGCCAUCAAGUACUUCUAGUUCAAUGGAGCACCAAAUGGAAGUAGAAGCAGUAUGAGGACGUGAAGACUACCCCAAAUCCAAGUUUCUGUAUUCCUUUCCACGCUUAAGCUAUUAAAUCAUGAUAAAAUGAGGUUUUACAAAAACUUUUGAGUGUUUUGGACUUUGCUUGAUUGGAUUUUUUUUUGUUGUUUGCAAGUGCUCUAAAAAUCAAAUAAAUCCUCCAACUCUUAUACUCCUUCUCCUUGAUCCAAAACCUUUUCCCAAUGAUCAUACCAUGUGUAUAGAGAAAUAUAAUAUUUCCUUACAAAAAUAAUUUGGCCAAAAAGUAUUUUCCAAAAUUAGUUUUCCAAAACCCCUUGAAUUGAGAUUUGCACUGCAAGUACUUGAUUUGAGGUGUAAAAAAUCUUUCCAAAAGUUUAUUUGAAACCUAUUAGAUAUAGGACUCCCUUAAACCACAAAAAUAUAAUUUUAAAAGUUAUUUUCUUAUUUUAUUUAAAAGCUUUUCUUAAGGCCAGAAAUGGUCUUUAAUAGGGAAAAAUUAUUUUAAUGUUUCAAAAAUAUUUGAGAAACUUUAGGGAAACUCAAUGGACAUAUAUUGUCCAUAUAUAAGAGUUUCAACACAUGGUCAUGUUCAAAAUAUUGGUCAAAUCCCUCAAAAACCAUUUCUGCCCAUUUCAAGGAUUUGAAAUAUUUCUACAGGAAAUAUUUUCAUAAAAAUCCAAGAAAAUUCUAGCAUGUCACAUAUGACAUGUUUGAUGAUCUUGCCAAGUCUCAUGUCAUGGAGAAUAGUAUAACCCCAUGAAACCCUCUCAAAACCAGUUCUGUCCUUUUUCAAGUUUGAACAGCUUUGCAUUGUCAAACAUGUCCAAAUGCUCUCAAACUUGGUGCACAUGCUCAAAUGGUGUAGUAAUGCAUCUAGACCAGAUGGCACAAGUUGGAGAGAAUGUUAUCUUGAUCAAAGUACCCCAAAACCCUCUCUGCCCAGAACCAUAUUUGAACAAGUCUACAUUGGAAACUUUCUCAUCUUGAUCUCAACUUUUGUGGACAUGUUCAAGACCUCAAAUGAUGACACUACACUAAGUGGUGCAUCAAGGAGAAUAGUUUUGCAUGACUAGAUCUUGGAAAACCCAUUUCUGUUGAUUUCUAGGGUUUACCAAAGUUACAUUGGCAACUUUGCCCACAUGAGCUAAAAAUUGGUGGAAGGUCCUAAUUAUAUGUGACGUUUCAUCCUGUGGAGUCUCAUGGAAAAUGGAAAUCAUAUGCUUGCCCAAACCACCAUCAAACACCUUCUGGCAGAAAUUUAGAAUGCAUGUUUUGGCCAUUUCCACUAAUCUCCAUGAGCUAAUCUUUCUCCCACAACAUCAUCUGGUCCUCCUCUAACCCCUGCAUCUUUCCCUGCCCGAGGGGCCAUGAUGAUGGGGGUGAAAAGCUCUUUUUCCCUCUCUGGACAACACCAUUUCUCUCUCUCUCAACCUCCCUCCUCACUCUAGUGGAUCCCCAUUGCAUCCAAUGCCAUUGUCACAUUGUUUACUCCCACCUGUAGCUUCCAGACACAAGUGGGCGCGUGAGGACGCGAGAAAAAGCCGCGGGUGCCGGCCAUUUGCGCGCUCUGGAGCAUGUCAGCGUGCUCCCGACCGUUGAUGCCGCAUCCCCCGACCACCUCGAGCCUCCCCCUCGUGCCAGUCGAGGUGCCUCGAUGUCCGCAACACGCCACCGUGCAGGCCUCUUCCUUUCCCUCUCUCUCUCACCUCCUACGGCGCAUGCCCAGAGCCGCCCGGCUCGGCCAAUGCUCGGCGUCACAUGUGCGAGCACUAGAGCCUCGCCCCGGUUCCUCUCUCUCUUCUUGGCACCCUACACGACUCCCACGAACGACGUAGACAACUCCUCUCCCUCCCUCCUGGCCUCCCGAGCCGUUGCCGCGGCCACCCGUGCGCCGCGUCCACGGUGAGCUACGGGUCGGCUAUUUAAGGCCACCCCUGAGCCCCCUCUCUACUCCUUUGGCUCCCUCUCCCUCUCAUGCACCCCUGGACAAACCCACACCCCUCCGCGUGUCUUCCGUUCACCGCAAUGGCCGUAGCGCCGCAGUCGGGCUCCGCCUGAAUCCGGGCUAUCCCGAGCCUCUCCUCUCUCCCUAGCCACUCCAGUAUCCUCAUACCACCACCUCGAGGGCCUCCAUCACCGUCAUUCAUCCCCGGGAACGUCACGCGCUCGUGGCCGAAGAUGGCCGACAGCCUCCUCCACGGCCACCCAAGCCAUCGCUGCUGCAGCCGUCCACGGCAUGCGUGCAGCACAUGGAUGGGUGCGGCGUGGCCUCCUGAGCACGCCGGUGGGCGGAGCGUCGCCGGAGAUGCUCUGUAGCCCCGGCAAUCGCCGGCGGGAGCCGCUCCUCGCCGCGGUCGGAGCACGCGCGGGAGGUUGAGGACGAACCUGCAGACGGGGCCCGCUCGUCAGUGGCCCAACCACGAGGCCACGCUGGCAAGUGGAGGCGGAUUCCAUGUCUCCCGCGUCCCCGCAGCGAAGGCGCACUCCGCGUGGGCGCCUUCGACGUCACCCUGUCACCCGUGCAGCUAGGCCGGCCCAAUGCCUAUCUCUCGCCCAGUGCGGAGAAUAAGGGUAUAGCCCUUUUCUUAUUUUCUUUUCCCAGAUAACUUGUAAAAUCCAUAGAUUAUUUAUUCUAAGUCCAAAUUUGAUGAAUCUAAUUUCUAUAAGUUCAUAAAUUCAUUUCCUAUCACGUGGUGCUAUUUGCACAUUUUUACAGAAAUAUUUCUUUCACAAAUAAUUAUAUAAUCCCAUUUUUCCAUUCCUGUCUUAAACUUUGGAAAAUCACAGAGAGCCCAUUUUUGAUCCAAAUGCCAUGAUUCAAAUUCCUAGGUGUUCCUAAGUUCAUAACUUAGUUUAUGAACAUUUUUAUUAAUACCUUCUGUACCACAUAAAUUAUUGAGCC